RNAcentral lists this ribosomal RNA (253 nucleotides) under uncultured bacterium. Its description in RNAcentral is "partial 16S ribosomal RNA". It matches the Rfam family "Bacterial small subunit ribosomal RNA", at positions 524 to 776 of the family's 1533-position model. The record is from RNAcentral.
UGCAGAGGGGGCAAGCGUUAUUCGGAAUUAUUGGGCGUAAAGGGCGCGUAGGCGGCUCGGUAAGCGUGUGGUGAAAGCCUGGGGCUCAACCCCGGGUCGGCCAUGCGAACUGUCGAGCUGGAGCACUGUAGAGGCAGGCGGAAUUCCGGGUGUAGCGGUGAAAUGCGUAGAUAUCGAGAGGAACACCUGCGGCGAAGGCGGGUUGCUGGGCCGACACUGACGCUGAUGCGCGAAAGCUAGGGGAGCGAACGGG